ACUCAAAUGAAUUGACGGGGACCCGCACAAGCGGUGGAGCGUGUUGUUUAAUUCGAUGGUAAGCGAAGAACCUUACCCAGGCUUGACAUCCUGUGAAGCAUUGCGAAAGCAAAGUGUGCCUUUUGGAACACAGUGACAGGUGAUGCAUGGCCGUCGUCAGCUCGUGUCGUGAGAUGUUUGGUUAAGUCCAUCAACGAGCGCAACCCUUAUAGUUAGUUGAAUUUCUCUAGCUAGACUGCCCUGGUAACAGGGAGGAAGGGGGGGAUGAUGUCAGGUCAGUAUUUCCCUUACGUCUGGGGCUACAAACACGCUACAAUGGCCGGUACAAAGGGCUGCCAACCCGCGAGGGGGAGCAAAUCCCAUCAAAGCCGGUCUCAGUUCGGAUAGCAGGCUGAAACCCGCCUGCUUGAAGCUGGAAUCGCUAGUAACGGUAAGUCAGCACAUUACCGUGAAUACGUUCCCGGGUCUUGUACACACCGCCCGU
Molecule: ribosomal RNA, 484 nt
Filed under: uncultured bacterium
Lineage: Bacteria
Description: partial 16S ribosomal RNA
Rfam family: Bacterial small subunit ribosomal RNA
Source: RNAcentral